Magnolia sinica is the source of this 1980-nucleotide RNA transcript. It is a transcript of the gene named ALBINO3-like protein 1, chloroplastic, with no coding region annotated. The record is from RefSeq and is a predicted model, not a curated record. The transcript has 12 exons. Lineage: Eukaryota; Viridiplantae; Streptophyta; Magnoliopsida; Magnoliales; Magnoliaceae.
CUAUUGAACGGGAGUGUAUUUGUCACGGGAAUCUCAGUGGGCUCCACACAGCUUCCAACAACAACACGGGCACAGGUAAUCCGCUUCUCCCAACGUGCACCAUCGCGGCGCACGUUUACCUCGUUCUCUCGUCGUUUUGAAGAACCCCAAAACUAUCCUCCCUUCCGAUUUGUCCACCAUCCUGCCUUGUCCCUCUUCUCUCCUCCCUCGCUGUAAAGUAACGGCGAAAAAAAAAAAUGCCUACUUCUCUUCUAUCCUACCGACCUCUUCUAUUCUCUCCCUUGAGACCCUGGAUUACGCUCCAGCAUCAUCGAAAUCACUACGGCUUCUUUAAGCAGAGACUACCGCUUGUUGGUAGCAGUCACGUGGUCCGAAUCGGUAGAAAUCCUGAGAGUGUUGGAGAUUUGAUUGGGGAGCUGUUUGGUCGAGCCCAAGGCCUUGUUUAUACUACGAUUGCGGAUGUGGCGGAUGCCUCCUCCGACUCUUCUUCGAAUUUGGCAAAAUCAAACUUAGAUUGGCUUUCUGGGAUUACGAAUUAUCUGGAGACUGUUCUCAAGGUUUUGAAAGAUGGGCUUUCGGCUUUGCAUGUUCCGUAUGCUUAUGGUUUUGCAAUUAUUCUCCUCACUGUCCUUGUUAAGGCUGUCACGUUUCCUUUGACAAAGAAACAGGUUGAGUCUGCAAUGGCAAUGCGAUCUCUGCAGCCUCAGAUACGGGCUAUCCAACAACGCUAUGCGGGAGAUCAGGAAAAAAUACAACUCGAAACUGCUCGCCUAUAUAAACUAGCUGGUGUAAACCCAUUGGCAGGAUGCCUUCCUACUCUUGCAACAAUACCAAUUUGGAUUGGACUCUAUAGGGCUCUUUCAAAUGUGGCAGAUGAGGGACUCCUUAUGGAAGGCUUCUUCUGGAUACCGUCUCUAUCUGGUCCUACCACUAUUGCCGCUCGACAAAGUGGUAGUGGGAUCUCUUGGCUUCUUCCUUUUGUAGAUGAUCAUCCUCCACUAGGAUGGUUAGAUACCUUUGCGUAUCUUGUCUUACCUGUGCUGCUUGUUGUCUCACAGUAUGUUUCUAUUCAAAUCAUGCAGUCUUCACAGGGUAAUGAUCCUAACCAAAAGGGUUCUCAAGCUCUAACUAGGUUCCUCCCCUUGAUGAUUGGUUAUUUUGCUCUCUCGGUUCCUUCUGGGUUAAGUCUUUACUGGUUGACGAAUAACAUUUUGAGCACGGGACAACAGAUAUGGCUUCAAAAGCUAGGUGGUGCAAAAAACCCAGUUAGGAAAUAUAGUGAGGGAACCAUAACAGAACAACCCCAAAUGCAGAAGCCUGCUAUUGACAUUGAUGCUAACAUAUUGGAACCAAACCAAAGAGAAAAAUCAACUUCAGGAGGGCUACGCCCUGGAGAAAGGUUUAAACAGAUAAAGGAGCAAGAAGCAAGGAGAAGACAGCAAAGGGAACCAGAAAAGAGGAAAGCAGAAGAGGCAGCUAAAGGAGGUGAUGUACGGAAUGUGGAACAUAAGCAAGAAUCGGAGUUUCUCAAGAUUAAAGAUAGCACCGAAGCUGGAUUUGUUGCAGUUGAAGAUGAAAAUAUAGUGCAGACUGUGACUUUCAUACAUGAUUCUACUGAUCCUGGAGCCCCUUUAGUGAAUGCCAGUCAGUCUACACAGGACUCAAAAGAAGAUCGGUCAGGGAUAGGUGUACCUGAGGUGAGAAAUGGUGGAGCUACUUGUAAUGGCAGCAUUGGGAUGAAGGAUGAACAGAAUUCACAAGAAAAUCUCUAGAAGUGUAAUGGAGUUUUUUAACUGACUAGGAAGCAUUACUUGCAUGCUGAUGCUGUCAUUCCCAGGAACAAGAGGCAUGAUAUUUACGCCCUCCCAACAGCAAGGAUGAAUCUCCUGGAGAUGAAGAGAAUAAGCAACCAAGAGAGUUAAAAAGCUAAAAAAUUAUUGCAUUGAGGAUUGGUUGCAGGGCCCUCCUCGCUCUCUCUCU